Molecule: long non-coding RNA, 452 nt
Filed under: Nicotiana benthamiana
Lineage: Eukaryota; Viridiplantae; Streptophyta; Magnoliopsida; Solanales; Solanaceae
Description: long non-coding RNA (NBEN_LNC029484)
Source: RNAcentral
CUCGUGAAAUUCAAUUUCAUCAAAAAAUAGCAGCGCAACAGUUACAACCACAAACAUCGGAUCAAAAAUUAAAGAAAGGAGAUUAGAAGUAACAUGAAAUUAACUUUUCGUUGAAUUGAAAUGCAGUAAUUAGACGGAUCGAAAUGAAGCGACUAUUACAAUCAGAAAUCGAUGAAGCUUCAAAAGAAGUCAGUGAAAGUCGAACCGAGAAAACCAACGGACAGUACCUCGACGCCUCCGGCGAUCUUGAAUCUAAUUUUCAGCCAACCAAAUAGAGUAUUCACAAGCCAAAUGAAGCGCGUGAAGACGAGAAGGAUCCAGCGACGCGCAAACAGAAACACAGCUUCGAUUUAAGUCCGAAAUCGACUCAAACCACCAGAAAUUUUAGAAACAAAGCAGUAGAAAUCAGACUAGCUAUAGCUUUUGGCUGAGAAAGCUUGCUGGAUUUUUUG